CAGUCGCCGCGGGAAUACGGAGGGAGCUAGCGUUGUUCGGAAUUACUGGGCGUAAAGCGCACGUAGGCGGCUUUGUAAGUUAGAGGUGAAAGCCUGGAGCUCAACUCCAGAAUUGCCUUUAAGACUGCAUCGCUUGAAUCCGGGAGAGGUGAGUGGAAUUCCGAGUGUAGAGGUGAAAUUCGUAGAUAUUCGGAAGAACACCAGUGGCGAAGGCGGCUCACUGGACCGGCAUUGACGCUGAGGUGCGAAAGCGUGGGGAGCAAACAGGAUUAGAUACCCGAGUAGUCCCUGUCUCUUAUAA
Molecule: ribosomal RNA, 301 nt
Filed under: uncultured bacterium
Lineage: Bacteria
Description: partial 16S ribosomal RNA
Rfam family: Bacterial small subunit ribosomal RNA
Source: RNAcentral